Molecule: long non-coding RNA, 2735 nt
Organism: Monopterus albus (swamp eel)
Lineage: Eukaryota; Metazoa; Chordata; Actinopteri; Synbranchiformes; Synbranchidae
Exons: 3
Source: RefSeq, a predicted model, not a curated record
AGUGGGCAAACUUACAAAAUCAGCUGACUGUACUUGUUCUUGCAUGCUCUGUUAGUCUUUAAAAAUUGGACCACUGGCAGUGUCUCAAAAAUCAUUAAAUUAUAGGAGGUUUAGGAGGAACAUGAACACACAAAGCAGCCAGGAAAGAAAACAUUGAUGCACGACUGCCCACAAAUAUAAAUGCAAGUAAAGAGACAUUGUGAGAUUCAGAAGCCAUGUUCCUUAACCUAACACCUUGAAUUAUAAAGAGAUUUCAGGCUACUCCCUGAAGUGUUUUGUAUUGUGAGUCAAUCAUUCAGGCUAUUGAUGUGCCCUUGAAAGGAUAGUUUGACAUUCUGGGCAAAAUGCUUAUUUUCUUGUUGAGAGUUAUGAGAUCUACACAACCUUCAUGCAUAGUAUCUGCAUACACACCUCUAAAGCUCACUAACAUGUUACCCACAUGGGAAUCAAUCCUCUCAUCUAACUCACCAACUAUAAAUCAGUGAUUUGAAGAAGUCAGCAGAACAAGAGACAAAACGGAAAUACAGAACUUUUUAAUGUAAAAUAACCCAAACUGUUUCAGCUGUAGUGUGUUAGUGUAGAAUGGUGUUACACAUAUAAGAAACUGAAUGUGAAAAUAAGUUUCCAGGACAUUUCAACUUAAAAAGGUUUUAUUUUACUAGCUGAACUGUGGCCAGUACUUCAUAGUAGUAUGGAUGAAUUUCCUCUGGCUGUUGAUGUGCCUGUGCAAUGAGGCAGCUGAUUUUGCAAGCUGAUAUCUCAAACAUAAUGAAUAUGUUUACAGGUUUACAAUAUGUUUUAACCAGGGAUGUCCUGCAGGGUAAAAACGUUUUAAUCUCCAUUUACAGAGGUUUUUCAUUUGCAGGCUAGAAUUUACAGACAUUUUUUGGCUGAAUGAAAUUGUACCUGCAAUAAGAAGUACUGUAGAUCUGUUGCAUUAAAUAAUAUUAAAGCAUAAGGCUGGUCAUUUUCUUUUUUUAAUCAGUAUUUUCAACACUCUGCCUACAGAGACUAAGACCAACAAUUAUUUGUUUUACUACUCACUUUUAAUGUCUGUCAGUCCUGUUAUUCAUGGGGGUAUAGCUCAGUGGUAGAGCAUUUGACUGCAGAUCAAGAGGUCCCCAGUUCAACUCCCGGUGCCCUCUGUUGAUAUAACUAUGCACCCAAUGUCUGAAGCCUUUGGGAGGCAACAGUGGCGUACCUGACAAGCACGAGUCUGUAUAAAUUCAACCAACCACAUAUCCAGGUCCAUCUUUCAAAGGCCAAUCACAUGCCAGAGUCCAUCUUUCUGUUGCCAAUCAAACUGCUAAAUCCAUCUUUCUACUACCAAUCAUGAAACGCUGUCCAUUUUUCACCUUAGCAACGGUCCACCUGUUUUGUUUUUUUCGUCGCUAUGGGAAACUUAAAGUUGCUGAACCACAAGAACCGUAAGUAACAAUUAUCCUUCUGUCUCCAAACUUUGUUUAAUGUUUGAUAUCACUGAGAAAGUGGCUCUUUACAUGAACGUGAAGUUAACGCUAACAUGAAGCUACUACUGUGUUAGUGUGUUCGAGUGAACAGCCGCUUUAUUAAUACAUAACCUUAUUAUUAAGUCAGUGUUUAUUUGUUAUAUGCACAGUUCGGAAACUAUUGUUGCUAUAUUACUACUUGGUUUUCAAAAAUCUAAGUUAUAAAACAGUUUAAAAUGUUUUACUUAUAAUUAUGAUAUCAGAAGGCACACAACACGUUUUGCUCAUUUGUUAACGCCAUUGUACUGUAUGUUUAUGUUUGCUGUUGUUUUAAUGUCACUUAGUACACUUGAUGUCAAUGGCUUGGCACAGUCUUGUUAUUUCAGAUGGCAUCUCAAAAGUCACAUAAGGCCAUGGCAGACACAGAGUGGUUCUUACGUCUGCGAACAUUUGUCUACACUGGUGUUUGGCCAUCCAGAGAGGUAAACAGGCAAAAGAAAUGGAAUGACCUCUAUCUUAAGAUACAAAAAUACACUCUGCAUUGGAGAGGACAAAUGAUCUAUACAAAGGAAACAGCUGCACUUGUGGCUUUCACAAUGCCAAGGCAUCCUUCUUUCAAUAAGGCAAGUAUAGAUAUGUUAUGUUAAUCCCUCAACAGUAGGAACCUCAGAAAAGGAAGCGCUGGUUUCCCCUUUCAAAACCCUUUUUUAACCUUUGACAAGAGUCAGCAACAUUUUUAUAUAGGCAUUUCCUAAUGCUCACAAUGUUAUGCCCUAUUUGAAUAUACAGUAUACUAUAAAUCCCAAAGUCAUGCAUUGUGCACCCACAUACUGUGUGUGCUUUCAUGCAUUUGGCUGUACGAAGUGUGGAAAGACUUACCCAAAAAAAAAAAGAAAACAAAUUACACUCUUUGUGUAUACAAAGUUGCUAACUUUAGAAAAUGUGGCACUUCAGUCCAGUCCUGUUCAGCCUUGUGUAAACAGUAGACAGGACCUUAAGAAUGGAAACAGUAAAAAACAGAAGACUAGGGGACAACCCCCAGGAGUACCAGAUAUUUAGAGUUUUAUAUCCUGAUGAUAGUGAUUUUGAAGGGUGAACGGGUGUGCCUUCAUUUAGGAUAGAUUGCAUUUGAUUAACUAUUGGGUCCAGUGUGGCUUGGUCACGUUUCAUCACCAAGUGGGGCCGACAACACUGUACGUAAGCAGAAGAAAUGGUAUGGUUUUUAUUCAUUCAUUCAUUCAUUUUCUACCGCUUAAUCCCUGAGCGGGGUCACGGGUGGGGCCGGAG